Molecule: unclassified non-coding RNA, 403 nt
Filed under: soil metagenome
Description: partial contains 5.8S ribosomal RNA, internal transcribed spacer 2, and large subunit ribosomal RNA
Rfam family: 5.8S ribosomal RNA (bases 1-121)
Source: RNAcentral
GAUGAAGAACGCAGCGAAAUGCGAUAAGUAAUGUGAAUUGCAGAAUUCAGUGAAUCAUCGAAUCUUUGAACGCACCUUGCGCCCUUUGGCCAUUCCGAAGGGCAUGCCUGUUUGAGUAUCAUGAACACCUCAACUCUCAUGGCUUGCCAUGAUGAGCUUGGACUUUGGGGGUCUUGCUGGCCUGCGGUCAGCUCCUCUCAAAUGAAUUAGCUUUCCAGUGUUUGGUUGGCAUCACAGGUGUGAUAACUAUCUACGCUUGUGGUUUCCACCAGGUAACCUUCAGUAACAUGGGGGUUUGCUGGAGCUCAUAAAUGUCUCUCCUCAGUGGGGACAGCUCUUUGAACAUUUGAUCUCAAAUCAGGUAGGACUACCCGCUGAACUUAAGCAUAUCAUAAGCGGAGGA